UCCCCGAUAGCUCAAUUGGUAGAGCGCCGGACUGUUAAUCCGUAGGUUCCUGGUUCGAGUCCAGGUCGGGGAGCCA
RNAcentral lists this transfer RNA (76 nucleotides) under Chloroflexia bacterium. RNAcentral describes it as "tRNA-Asn". It matches the Rfam family "tRNA". From Rfam's summary of the family: Transfer RNA (tRNA) molecules are approximately 80 nucleotides in length. RNAcentral also lists the same sequence under 1 other name. The record is from RNAcentral. Lineage: Bacteria; Bacillati; Chloroflexota; Chloroflexia.